Long non-coding RNA from Cavia porcellus (domestic guinea pig), 2969 nucleotides. RefSeq lists it as uncharacterized. NCBI's taxonomy places the organism in Eukaryota, Metazoa, Chordata, Mammalia, Rodentia, Caviidae. The transcript has 2 exons. The record is from RefSeq and is a predicted model, not a curated record.
AGCCCGUGGGGUGAUGGCGUCAGGCCAGCUCUCCACGCAUACUGGGGCUCUGUCCCAUAAUCCGGGUCUUGUGAGUGCCUUGGGAAGCCGGGCUGUUUCAUUCUGGCCUUGGACAGUUGCCAGUGGACCUUACAGCUUGUAGAGCUCCCAGGAUGGUCGUGUGGGAGGCGUUCUGGUUGUCUGGGGGCGACACCACCCUGCCUGGUGGAGUGGUGGCAAGGAGGAGGGACACUCCCCGGGCGCACUGAGUCCUGCUGCAGGCAGACACAGGCGCAGGUUGGAGCUCCACUGUGCAGGGCUGGGCUGCUUGGCAGUCUCACACAGCUCUGUUCCUUGUCUGGGUUAAACAGAGGCGCCCUGCCUGGCAGACACCAAGAGGACGGGGCCGCAGCGGGGGGCGAGGGUGCUCCUUGCCCGGCUGCGGGAGCAGUCGGCCCUUCCCUGGCGUGACCGCUGCCGUCAGUCAGAUACAUCGACAGUUGGCAUGAUGUUUGGUAAUUGACUGACACAACUCCACGUGGGUUUCUGACACCAUCGUCCUGCCCGAGAGCCUGAGGGGGAGACAGAGAUGCUCCUGUGACCAGAAGGGGCGUGGACAGUGCCAAGUAUCCUCACCCAAGCGCAGCAGCGGACUAAGUAUGUGUGAAGCCAGGGGAGCACUUUGAAGGCGCUUGAUAGCAAAGUGUCUUUUUGUAUAAUUGUUUUUUGGGAAAAAACCUCAGUAAACAUUCACUGUAAAUUUUUGAUACUGGGGAGUGAAACUCCCAACCUACUGUGUCUGGUAUGAGUUCGUGUUCUCCAAAAUCGAAGAAUGAAUUUUAGGAACAAUGGAGGUUAAGAGUGGAAUACAUUUAUUGAGAGAAAGAAAGCUUCUGUCUGAGAGAGACAGAAGGGGUCUUGAGGGGGUUGCCAGGGACUCUGUCUUUUCUAGGGACUUUUAUAGAGUAAAAUCAUGAGGUUAAAUGUGUCAAAGGUAGGGAAAAAUGGGAAUUUGCAAGGUGAGCAUAAGACAGGACAGAACUGUGGCCAACCAAUAAGAUUAAUUGCUCAGGUAAAAUUGAUUAAAUUAGGAGCCAAUGGGGGAGCCAGUCAUGCAGUAAGCACACAAGCUUAGCAGCAGUGACUGUCCUGUAGGGGGUGUGAUGAUGUCUCCUGACUUCCUCAGGGUGAUGGAGAACUACUUGGACUGUGGAGCCUUAGGGUGUGGUUCUGUUUGCUUUGCCUUUUGUCUUGCAAUCUGGCCCACAGCAGGUGAUUGUCUCUUCCAAGGCUGCAAGGUAUCUGAACUUCUGCUCUUGCUCCUUUGAGGGACCAGCCCUGUGUGACUGCCUAUAACAUUUCUAACUCACUCAGCUGCUGUAACAUUUUGAUCUCAGCUUGGAUGCUGGGUAGAACACCAGGGUAGGACAGGAGUGUUCCUGAGGGCCCAGCAAAGGGAGGCCUGAGGCCAGCAAGGGUCUCUCUGGGGAGGGUCUCUCCGGCACAGUUUUGGGGUCACAUCUGGCAGUUUCUUGGGUGGCUUGGACCCAGGAUGUUUCCAGUGCCUCUCUGGGUUCCUUCUCUGAUGCUGAAAGCUGUGAGCUGGGUGGGAAUGAUGGGGCAGACCCGACCAGCAGGGGAGCCCUGGAAGGCGAGGUGUGCAAAGGGAAACUGGGGCCAUUUCCCGCCCACAGGAGCUAACUUCUGGGGCAGCCUGUGAGACUGCGCUGGCAGGAGCUGGGAGGAGUGGCUGGGGAGAGCUCUGGAGGCAGGGUGAGGCCUCCAGCAGGGGUCACUUACAGGGCCAGGGGCUCUGGGGUCUGCAGCCAGGUGCUCAGGUAGCAACUGGUGUGGACAGAGGAGCUCACCUUGGGGACCGGGCACGGGUGCCGUCCUGGCUUCACUGAAACACGGGACGCAUCCUUCCUACCUGCUCACCCUCCCAGGCCAUGUAAAUGACCAUCAGGCCAUCAUCGCAGCGAGAACACCUUUGCCACGACCUCUCCAGGAGUAAACUAGAUGAGAAAAGAAAACCGUUGGGGUCACCACAGAGGGACAGAAGAUAAACAGGCGUCUGGUCCCCAGCCUAUGACUGCUAACAGUACAAGUUUUGUUUCCUUCUGAAAAGGCAGUGAGGGAUUUAAACUGCUUUUGCUAAAAGACAAAACAAAAUAAAAAUAAAACAAGAAAAAGCACAGCAGCUGUUCACUUGGGCCUCCUGACGCCCAGGGGGAACUAGAAACGGUCAAAGCUUCUGCCAUCUCUGCCUGAGUUCCAUGGCUGGCCUCAGGCUCAGCUCAUCCUCCUGCCUCAGGCUCUGGAGAGCGGGGUUCAGAUCCCUGCUGAGCUCUGUGUGCAGGCAGGUCUAUGCCAUGUGGUUCAUCAGCCCUAAACCACCUGGGCUCUCUCAUCCCCUUCAAGUCAGAAGACACCAACUUAGGAGAGCUGGGGGUCUCUCGGCCCCCAGCCUUGCGGGUGCCACCUUCAGACCCCUGCAGCUGCCCAGCUUCCCGCAGAGCCUUUGCAAAGCCAACACUGUGUGGGAGCCUGGCUGCUCCUCCAGCCACAGGACUUCCCCGGAGCUGCAGAACCAGGACAGAGACAGGGAGCACCCCGAAUGCUGCCCUCCAGCAGCCUCACCUUCCCCUGCACCUCUUUCUCCAGAUGAGAUCAUCCCCCACUCUUCUACUUCCCAUCAACACUUCUGCCUGUAAGUUUGUGCUUUGGUUUAGAAGUCUGUGACUGCCAAAGCUGGACCUCACUGGGGCCCAGGACACUAGGGGGCUGCAGUGAGCCAUCAGGGAAGGUGGGGUGUGGCCCAUGAGCCAGGUAGGUUUGGGCAGUGCAUGCUGGGCAGCCCUGCCAGUGACCGCUGGCUUUCAAAGCAACACGGUCGGGGGCAGAGAAGACACCUUAAAAACUCUCCAUUUCUGUGUUCCUUUCCCAUUUAUUCCCUGUUACACUUUUACAUGAAAAGUUAUUUUAAAAUA